GCUGUACCUCCAUUUUAUUUUGUUUGGAUAACUCAGUGCAGCAACACACCCGUGACCGUCUAUUGUUUCCCUGUCAACCAAGUAAAUAUCACCCCUGGAAUAGGUUGCAAUACGAACAACCAAAGAAAACAGUCUCUUUCGUUUGUUACUAAACUCAUAAGUAUGUAUUGACUUCCCCUUUCAGUCUAUCACUAUCAGUUGUCUACAGCUUUUUGAUUCCAAGGGGAAACCUUCACCCUGUUCACGAAC
This 249-nucleotide long non-coding RNA is filed under the name Mytilus galloprovincialis (Mediterranean mussel). Lineage: Eukaryota; Metazoa; Mollusca; Bivalvia; Mytilida; Mytilidae. The record is from RNAcentral.